This 66-nucleotide transfer RNA is filed under the name Melipona fasciculata. RNAcentral's name for it is "tRNA-Gly". The record is from RNAcentral. Lineage: Eukaryota; Metazoa; Arthropoda; Insecta; Hymenoptera; Apidae.
AUAUAUAUAGUAUAAUUAAUUACAUUUAACUUCCAAUUAAAAAAUUUAUAAUUUAUAAUAUAUAUA